CAGAUGCUCCCUCAGCUUAGGUGAAGGGUGACUACACCCGGAAGCUUGCCAAAACCUUUUUUCCAACUACUCAGUUGGUCUAAUAAAAGAUAUCACAUCUACUCAAAAACCUUGC
Gavialis gangeticus (Gharial) is the source of this 115-nucleotide long non-coding RNA. RefSeq lists it as uncharacterized. NCBI's taxonomy places the organism in Eukaryota, Metazoa, Chordata, Crocodylia, Gavialidae. The transcript is spliced from 3 exons. The record is from RefSeq and is a predicted model, not a curated record.